UCUCCGUUGGUGAACCAGCGGAGUGAUCAUUACAGAGUUUUCUAAACUACCAAACCCAUGUGAACUUACCAUUGCUGCCUCGGCGGAGCCUACCCUGUAGCUACCCUAUAAGGUGGCUACCCUGUAGCGCCCCGCCGGUGGAUUUCAAACUCUUGUUAUUUUUUGUAAUCUGAGAGUCUUAUUUUAAAUAAGUCAAAACUUUCAACAACGGAUCUCUUGGUUAUGGCAUCGAUGAAGAACGCAGC
Molecule: unclassified non-coding RNA, 245 nt
Filed under: uncultured fungus
Lineage: Eukaryota; Fungi
Description: sequence contains ITS1, 5.8S rRNA gene
Rfam family: 5.8S ribosomal RNA (bases 197-245)
Source: RNAcentral